ACUCCUACGGGAGGCAGCAGUGGGGAAUAUUGCACACUGGGCGCAAGCCUGAUGCAGCGACGCCGCGUGGGGGAUGAAGGCCUUCGGGUUGUAAACUCCUUUCGCUAGGGACGAAGCUUUUUUGUGACGGUACCUAGAUAAGAAGCACCGGCUAACUACGUGCCAGCAGCCGCGGUAAUACGUAGGGUGCGAGCGUUGUCCGGAAUUACUGGGCGUAAAGGGCUCGUAGGUGGUUUGUCGCGUCGUCUGUGAAAUUCUGGGGCUUAACUCCGGGCGUGCAGGCGAUACGGGCAUAACUUGAGUGCUGUAGGGGUAACUGGAAUUCCUGGUGUAGCGGUGAAAUGCGCAGAUAUCAGGAGGAACACCGAUGGCGAAGGCAGGUUACUGGGCAGUUACUGACGCUGAGGAGCGAAAGCAUGGGUAGCGAACAGGAUUAGAAACCCUGGUAGUCCC
Molecule: ribosomal RNA, 453 nt
Filed under: uncultured organism
Description: partial 16S ribosomal RNA
Rfam family: Bacterial small subunit ribosomal RNA
Source: RNAcentral